GGAUAUAGCUCAGCUGGUAGAGUGCUUGCCUCACAUGCACAAGGCCCUAGGUUCGAUCCCAAGCACCA
RNAcentral lists this transfer RNA (68 nucleotides) under Marmota monax (woodchuck). RNAcentral describes it as "tRNA.Val". The record is from RNAcentral. Lineage: Eukaryota; Metazoa; Chordata; Mammalia; Rodentia; Sciuridae.